RNAcentral lists this ribosomal RNA (536 nucleotides) under uncultured bacterium. RNAcentral's name for it is "bacterial SSU rRNA". It matches the Rfam family "Bacterial small subunit ribosomal RNA", at positions 88 to 637 of the family's 1533-position model. The record is from RNAcentral.
UGGAUUAGCGGCGAACGGGUGAGGAACACGUGAAGAAUCUGCCCUCCACUUUGGGAUAACACCGGGAAACCGGUGCUAAUACCGAAUAUUGAAACAUAAGUGGCAUCACUGAGUUUUGAAAGAAUUUCGGUGGAGGAUGACUUCGCGGCCUAUCAGCUAGUUGGUGAGGUAAUGGCUCACCAAGGCAACGACGGGUAGCCGGCCUGAGAGGGCGACCGGCCACACUGGGACUGAGACACGGCCCAGACUCCUACGGGAGGCAGCAGUGGGGAAUAUUGGGCAAUGGAGGAAACUCUGACCCAGCGACGCCGCGUGCGGGAUGAAGGCCUUCGGGUUGUAAACCGCUUUCAGUAGGGAAGAAGCGAAAGUGACGGUACCUACAAAAGAAGCACCGGCUAACUAUGUGCCAGCAGCCGCGGUAAUACAUAGGGUGCAAGCGUUGUCCGGAAUUAUUGGGCGUAAAGAGCUCGUAGGUCGUUUGUUACGUCGGAUGUGAAAACCUGAGGCUCAACCUCAGGCCUGCAUUCGAUACGGGC